GUCGCAGUGAAAUGGCUCUGGUGACUGGUUAACAAAAACCAUAGGUCUCUGCUAAGCCGUAAGGCGAUGUAUAGGGGCUGACGCGUGCCCAGUGCCGGAAGGUUAAAGGGAGAGGUUAGCGCAAGCGAAGCUUUGAACUGAAGCCCCGGUGAACGGCGGCCGUAACUAUAACGGUCCUAAGGUAGCGAAAUUCCUUGUCGGGUAAGUUCCGACCCGCACGAACCGCGUAACAAUUAGAGCACUGUCUCGACGAGGGACCCGGUGAAAUUGAAAUGGCUGUGAAGAUGCGGCCUACCCGCAGCAGGACAAAAAGACCCCGUGGAGCUUUACUGCAUCUUGGCAUUGUAUUUUGGAUAUAAUCUGUGUAGGAUAGGUGGGAGGCUUUGAAGCUGGCGCGUCAGCGUCGGUGGAGCCAACGGUGAAAUACCACCCUGAUUAUGUUUAGAUUCCCUAACCCCAUUCCGUAAUCCGGAGUGGGGGACCGUGCCAGGU
RNAcentral lists this ribosomal RNA (492 nucleotides) under uncultured bacterium. RNAcentral describes it as "bacterial LSU rRNA". It matches the Rfam family "Bacterial large subunit ribosomal RNA", at positions 1776 to 2262 of the family's 2925-position model. The record is from RNAcentral.